UACAAAGACAAGGAAGGAAGAGUUUGCCCC
This 30-nucleotide non-coding RNA is filed under the name Mus musculus (house mouse). Lineage: Eukaryota; Metazoa; Chordata; Mammalia; Rodentia; Muridae. The record is from RNAcentral.